CAAGGAUGGAAGUACACUUCAAUAGGAGAAUGUCAUUUAUCUGAAAUGAUCGCACAAUAAAUUCAUAGAUACUAACAAGUCGAAAUUAAAACGCAGCUGGACAACAACAACAAAACAUAGUUGUGAAAUGCUAAACAAAACCAGGCUAACAAAUGCAUACAAGAAUAUUAUUGACAAACAAAAAAAAAAAACAGAAACAGAAACAAUACUUGCUAAAAUUAUCGAAUUGCACUCUGCAAAUAACCAAAUGAAAACAGUAAAAAGAUACAAGAAACAAGAAAGAUAUGCAGUGCCGAUGUGCACGAGUACGAGUACACAGGGAGAAAUAAUUGCUAGCCAUUAGAGGAAAUGAAAUACAUACAAUACAUAGAUGCCUAUAGCUACAACACAUACAUACAUACAUACAUACAUAUAUGAUGGUAUCAUACUAUAUCACACCCAAUUCAUCAUGUCUUUCCUGCUGAUCGUUCAGCGGUUAAACGGUGCUUCAAUAUAUACGGGUGCUUCAUAACUAGGCGCCAACAUAAAUUUUUAACUUGUAUAGUUAAUGCUAAUUGGCGAAUGAAAUGAAAUCAAUCAAAAGAGGAUUCUGUAGAACAUAAAGCAAUUUAAACGCAAUGAUAGUGUAGUCAAUUUUUCGAGUCCAAGCAGCAUCUCGACAAAUUUUAGGCAUUCAAAUUCGACCCACUUGAAAAAUUCGCAACUGGGCGAAAUACAUACAUAUACAUGUAUGUAUGUAUAUGUUGGCGAUCAUUAUAUAGCCGAUAUUUGUAGCGCUUUUGUCAGUAUUUUCCGAUCAGUGAUACAUUGCGGAUUGCCUUCCACGUUGUCACUUCGCAAACUUCGCAAAUGAGGAAAAGCCCACACUUCGCUGGCAAACAAAAGUUAUCUUUUCUAUCCGAGUACACUGACUUAAAAACUUAUCUUAAAAAGAUGAAGCCAACAUAACAUCAUUUGGAGGAAAACCAUAAGCUAAAAUUGUAUGAUAAUGUUAAACACAAGUAUAAAGUUAACUAUUUUUAAAUGAAAACAAAAAAAAAGAAGAAGAAAACUGAGUGUCAACAGCAACGAAUGCCGAAUGUAAAGAGCGUUAAAUGAAGUUAUUUCAAGAGAGUAUAGUUUUCAGAACAGAAGAAGGAUCGAUUGCAGAUAUUCAUGGAUACGAAAGAAAUAUAUAUCACUACAGUCAAACUUCCAUAACUCAGGCUUCUUCUCUAUUUGUAGUCGAAGAACUAUUUUCGUUGGCAACAAUCUAAAUCUAAAAAAUGCCUCCAAUCAAUGACCCAAUCAUGGGUAAUAAUAAUCGAAUUUCUUUUUUUUUUUUUUUGGUUUUUUUUGCUGCCAGAUGGCGGUUUGUGUUAUCGAAGUUCGACUGUAUCUUUGAAUUUCCAAAAAAAAAAACAAAAUAAAUAAACAAGUGCAAGCUAGAAUACAAGUUAGAUUUAACACAUUUUUAAACUAAAAUUAAAACAGCAAAAAGUUAACAGAAAAUUCAUGAGAACCGUAAAAAUUUAGGAUAAACAAAAAAUAUGUAAGACCGAAACUGGAAACAAUAAAAUGUUUACAUUUUAGCUAGUGCAAA
Molecule: long non-coding RNA, 1582 nt
Filed under: Drosophila melanogaster (fruit fly)
Lineage: Eukaryota; Metazoa; Arthropoda; Insecta; Diptera; Drosophilidae
Description: LRG
Source: RNAcentral